RNAcentral lists this transfer RNA (74 nucleotides) under Dehalococcoidia bacterium. RNAcentral describes it as "tRNA-Glu". It matches the Rfam family "tRNA". Rfam says of the family: Transfer RNA (tRNA) molecules are approximately 80 nucleotides in length. Their secondary structure includes four short double-helical elements and three loops (D, anti-codon, and T loops). The record is from RNAcentral. Lineage: Bacteria; Bacillati; Chloroflexota; Dehalococcoidia.
GCCCCCAUAGUCUAGCGGCCCAGGACGCCACCCUUUCAAGGUGGAGAUCGCGGGUUCGAAUCCCGCUGGGGGCA